UCCCUAGAGAUUCAGUGGUUAGGACUCUGUACUUCCACUGUGGAGGGCCCAGGUUCAAAUCCUGUUUGGGGAA
Molecule: transfer RNA, 73 nt
Filed under: Bos taurus (domestic cattle)
Lineage: Eukaryota; Metazoa; Chordata; Mammalia; Artiodactyla; Bovidae
Also listed under: 4 other names
Rfam family: tRNA
About the family: Transfer RNA (tRNA) molecules are approximately 80 nucleotides in length.
Source: Rfam by way of RNAcentral